This 1524-nucleotide ribosomal RNA is filed under the name Triticum aestivum (bread wheat). Its description in RNAcentral is "partial small subunit ribosomal RNA". The record is from RNAcentral. Lineage: Eukaryota; Viridiplantae; Streptophyta; Magnoliopsida; Poales; Poaceae.
AUGCUGCCAUCCAGGCCGAGGUGGGCUGCCGGAUCGCUAGACAGCGCUGCAUUUCAGCAGAUCCGGGUCGUGGGGCGCUGGGCCGAGGACUCCUCCGGCUUCCAGUUCCAAAGCCACGCCUCCGCACGAGCGCAGCACGUCCUUGCUACCAGCACCACCACGUACUCCAUGCAAUCUUCUGAGCGUGCCAGCAGCAGUGGCGACAUGACGGAGCAGAUAGUGGCAGCGCAACUGGAGAAGGAAGACGCACUCCAACUCCAGGACCUCAUGGAGCCGCGGAGCGACGGCGCCACGCCAACGUCGCCGGCGUCGGCGCGGGUGUGGCUUCUGGAGCGAGAGGUGGCCACGGCGAAGCAGACCGAGACCAAGAUGCUGGAGUCGCUGAUCAGCCAGACCAAGGAGCUGGAGCAGGCCAAGAUGGCGCUCGAGGAGGCCAAGCUCGAGACCGCCACGCUGCGGCAGGCGGGGUCAGCGCAGCAGGGCCAGUGGAGCGUCAGGGACCUCAUGUUCGGCGGCGUCGACGAGGAGAUCAACGGGCUGCGGGCCAGGCUGCGGUCCGCGCUGGCCGCCGAGGAGAGGACCCGGAAGGCCGCCGACGACCUCGCCGCCGCGCUCUCCGCCGUCACCAUGGAGGCCAAGCAGGUGAAGACGUGGCUCUCCGACGCGCAGGCCGACCUCGAGCGCGCCAACGCCGAGGCCGGCCGGCUCGAGGGCCUGCUGCGCGCCAACGAGGCGGACCUGUGGUCGGCCACCGAGCAGCUCGACGGCGUCAUGUCGGACUGGAAGGAGGCCGCGGCCGCUUGGCGCGCCAGGGAGAAGGCGCUGCUCGCACGCGCCCGCGCGGCCGAGGAGGACGCCGCCGCCGCCCGGCGUGAGAACGCCGAGCUCGCCGAGAUGCACCGGGCGGUCGACCACGACAACGACGGCCUGCGGCGCGCGCUCGAGCGGGCGGCGGAGGAGGCCAACGCGGCCAGCGAGUCGCUCGAGUUCGCCAGCGGCGAGAACUCCAAGCUGCGCGACGCCGUCGCCGGGAAAGAGGACGCCAUGGAGUCCCUGAGGCUGGAGAACGAGUCGCUCAAGGCCAGCGAGGCUGCCGCGCAGGGGCGUGCCACGGAUCUGCAGAAUCAGCUCACAGAGGCAACCAAGACGGCCGAUGGUGGCGCCGGCAGUGGGGAGAAGGCAUGCGCUGCGGGGCUGCUGUUGGAGGAGUGGAAGACCGAUGCGCAUGGGAAGCUUAGCGCGGCGGCGUUCCUGGACUCCGGCAGGGUGAUGGCCGCCGCGAGCCGGAAGGAUCGUCGGAUGUUCGCGUCCAUCAGCAACCUCGCGGAGCUAAGGUCCGCCGCGGCGGCGGCGGCCAUGGACGAUUACUACGAGUUCGACCACUUCGAUGACGGGAGACAGUACGGUGGCCUGGAGCAUGCCAUGAAGCAGAGGAAGAGGAGGUCCGUUCUACGCAAAUUCGGAGACUUUUUUAGGAGAAGAAGCCUCCACAAGUCAGACUUUGGCCCAGUUCUAGCUAGGUAG